This 339-nucleotide unclassified non-coding RNA is filed under the name uncultured Cryptococcus. RNAcentral's name for it is "sequence contains ITS2". The stretch from base 1 to 52 matches the Rfam family "5.8S ribosomal RNA", at positions 103 to 154 of the family's 154-position model. Lineage: Eukaryota; Fungi; Basidiomycota; Tremellomycetes. The record is from RNAcentral.
AACGCACCUUGCGCUCCUUGGUAUUCCGAGGAGCAUGCCUGUUUGAGUGUCAUGAAACUCUCAAACUCUUGUUUUGGAUGCAAAUCCUUGCUUGAGUUUGGACUUGGGUGUUUGCCGGUGAUGAACCGACUCGCCUUAAACAUAUUAGCUGGACUUGUCUAUAUGACUGGUUUGACUUGGCAUAAUAAGUAUUUUGCUAAGGACAUCUUCGGAUGGCCAGUACCUAGGCUCUGUGUCUGCUAACUAAACCAUCACUUGAAGUGCAUCUUUAUGGUGUUGCUUCCUGUGUAUACUUUGACAUCUGACCUCAAAUCAGGUAGGACUACCCGCUGAACUUAA